Molecule: small nuclear RNA, 157 nt
Filed under: Falco tinnunculus (common kestrel)
Lineage: Eukaryota; Metazoa; Chordata; Aves; Falconiformes; Falconidae
Description: U1 spliceosomal RNA (ENSFTIG00000011558.1)
Rfam family: U1 spliceosomal RNA
About the family: U1 is a small nuclear RNA (snRNA) component of the spliceosome (involved in pre-mRNA splicing).
Source: RNAcentral
CUACUUACCUAACAGAGGACAGGCUGCGAUCAGUAACAUGGUCCUCCUGGGUAAGGAUAUUCUUUGCAUUCCAGGUAUGCUGACUCUUGUGAUUCCUCUGAAUGUGGAGAAGCUGACUGCAUAAUUUGUAGUGAAAGACUGAAUUUACACCUUCAAA